UGCAAGUCGAGCGGACAGAUGGGAGCUUGCUCCCUGAUGUUAGCGGCGGACGGGUGAGUAACACGUGGGUAACCUGCCUGUAAGACUGGGAUAACUCCGGGAAACCGGGGCUAAUACCGGAUGGUUGUUUGAACCGCAUGGUUCAAACAUAAAAGGUGGCUUCGGCUACCACUUACAGAUGGACCCGCGGCGCAUUAGCUAGUUGGUGAGGUAACGGCUCACCAAGGCAACGAUGCGUAGCCGACCUGAGAGGGUGAUCGGCCACACUGGGACUGAGACACGGCCCAGACUCCUACGGGAGGCAGCAGUAGGGAAUCUUCCGCAAUGGACGAAAGUCUGACGGAGCAACGCCGCGUGAGUGAUGAAGGUUUUCGGAUCGUAAAGCUCUGUUGUUAGGGAAGAACAAGUACCGUUCGAAUAGGGCGGUACCUUGACGGUACCUAACCAGAAAGCCACGGCUAACUACGUGCCAGCAGCCGCGGUAAUACGUAGGUGGCAAGCGUUGUCCGGGAAUUAUUGGGCGUAAAGGGCUCGCAGGCGGUUUCUUAAGUCUGAUGUGAAAGCCCCCGGCUCAACCGGGGAGGGUCAUUGGAAACUGGGGAACUUGAGUGCAGAAGAGGAGAGUGGAAUUCCACGUGUAGCGGUGAAAUGCGUAGAGAUGUGGAGGAACACCAGUGGCGAAGGCGACUCUCUGGUCUGUAACUGACGCUGAGGAGCGAAAGCGUGGGGAGCGAACAGGAUUAGAUACCCUGGUAGUCCACGCCGUAAACGAUGAGUGCUAAGUGUUAGGGGGUUUCCGCCCCUUAGUGCUGCAGCUAACGCAUUAAGCACUCCGCCUGGGGAGUACGGUCGCAAGACUGAAACUCAAAGGAAUUGACGGGGGCCCGCACAAGCGGUGGAGCAUGUGGUUUAAUUUCGAAGCAACGCGAAGAACCUUACCAGGUCUUGACAUCCUCUGACAAUCCUAGAGAUAGGACGUCCCCUUCGGGGGCAGAGUGACAGGUGGUGCAUGGUUGUCGUCAGCUCGUGUCGUGAGAUGUUGGGUUAAGUCCCGCAACGAGCGCAACCCUUGAUCUUAGUUGCCAGCAUUCAGUUGGGCACUCUAAGGUGACUGCCGGUGACAAACCGGAGGAAGGUGGGGAUGACGUCAAAUCAUCAUGCCCCUUAUGACCUGGGCUACACACGUGCUACAAUGGACAGAACAAAGGGCAGCGAAACCGCGAGGUUAAGCCAAUCCCACAAAUCUGUUCUCAGUUCGGAUCGCAGUCUGCAACUCGACUGCGUGAAGCUGGAAUCGCUAGUAAUCGCGGAUCAGCAUGCCGCGGUGAAUACGUUCCCGGGCCUUGUACACACCGCCCGUCACACCACGAGAGUUUGUAACACCCGAAGUCGGUGAGGUAACCUUUAGGA
RNAcentral lists this ribosomal RNA (1410 nucleotides) under Bacillus sp. (in: firmicutes). RNAcentral describes it as "bacterial SSU rRNA". It matches the Rfam family "Bacterial small subunit ribosomal RNA". The record is from RNAcentral. Lineage: Bacteria; Bacillati; Bacillota; Bacilli; Caryophanales; Bacillaceae.